AUGAAAAGAAGUUGAAUCUAUAUUGAUAUAGGUUAGAAAUCAAGGGAUUAUCUCAUUGUAACCAAUAUAAGUGACUAACUCACCUAAGUGAGUCUAUGUCAUGUUUUUUAGAUUGCAGAUUUUCUCUAGUAGCUGCCUGCCUUAGUCACAUUUAAGAAGAUGGUUGCCUCAUUUUUACUCUCCUUCAUCUUUUAUGAUCCACGUGUGUCUUCAUCCACACCACAGAGGAAAUCUUGGCAAUAUGAUAGAGGACUGGGAAUGAUGGCGGUGAUAUCAGCCGUAGCUACAGAGUCCACAGAGCUCUGCAACUUAGUUGGGAAAUACUGAAGAGAUCAGGCCAAGAGGGUGAAGUAAGAAACACUUGAAGCCCAUCAGCCACCCUCCAAAUGGUUACAGUAGAACAAAAACACCUCAAAAUGAAUACCUGAGCAGCAGAACCGACAGAAGUAGUGAAGUGGGGUUCUUGCCCAGAACAAUAUGAGAGAUAGCAAGGACUCACCUCAAGGGGGAAUGAGGAGAGAGCACUGAACAAGCAUCAGCAGGAUUCAGAUGCAAUACAGCACAGGCUACAAGAAAAAGAGUACAGCCAGCAUAGUCCAGCCACAACAGGAUAAGAGCAAUAAUCAACACAAUAUCAAACAAACAGCAAUGGGAGGAAAGUGGCCCAACAGGAUCCAGUCUUGGUGGGAUUAGGCAGAACCCAACUCCAAUCAGCCAAACAACAUCUGCAAACCUCCAUAGAGCAAGCCAACCAGGCCACCUCUGAGGAGUGCUCAAUCUGAGACCUGGACAGCUAAGAUGAUCUAGGCACAGUACAAGUAAGGGACAGUACUUCCUUUACUCCAGAAAUGGAGCUAAGCUUCAGCAUAUAGACAAAAUCAAGGGGGAAAAAAAUAACUUCCAUGAGCAGAAGAUAGAGAAAAAGCCUAGCACUAGAAAAAAUAUUUCAACAAGACAGAUGAUAUACAAAAUACAAGCUCAGAAGAGGAGAGUAAUACAAAAAUGAAAACAUGUGAAGGCUCAAAGAAAAAUGUGAAAAAAUGUCAAGGCCAAAAUGAACCCCUGAAUUAAGCCAAAAAUAAAAAAGAAUGGGAAAACA
This 1099-nucleotide long non-coding RNA is filed under the name Monodelphis domestica (gray short-tailed opossum). Its description in RNAcentral is "lncRNA (ENSMODG00000043002.1)". Lineage: Eukaryota; Metazoa; Chordata; Mammalia; Didelphimorphia; Didelphidae. The record is from RNAcentral.